GCCGCAGAAGCAUAGCCCGGUUUUGCAGCCGAUUCGUAAUCGGCCGGUCGAGGGUUCAAAUCCCUCCUGCGGCU
This 74-nucleotide transfer RNA is filed under the name Candidatus Iainarchaeum sp. RNAcentral's name for it is "tRNA-Thr". It matches the Rfam family "tRNA". Rfam says of the family: Transfer RNA (tRNA) molecules are approximately 80 nucleotides in length. Lineage: Archaea; Nanobdellati; Candidatus Iainarchaeota; Candidatus Iainarchaeia; Candidatus Iainarchaeales; Candidatus Iainarchaeaceae. The record is from RNAcentral.